UAGUCCACGCCGUAAACGAUGAGCACUAGGUGUCGGGGUCGCGAGGCCUCGGUGCCGCAGCUAACGCAUUAAGUGCUCCGCCUGGGGAGUACGCUCGCAAGAGUAAAACUCAAAGGAAUUGACGGGGACCCGCACAAGCAGCGGAGCAUGUGGUUUAAUUCGAAGCAACGCGAAGAACCUUACCAAGGCUUGACAUCCUUUUGAACCAUUCUUAAUCGGAUACUCUCUUCGGAGCAAAAGUGACAGGUGGUGCAUGGUUGUCGUCAGCUCGUGUCGUGAGAUGUUGGGUUAAGUCCCGCAACGAGCGCAACCCUUAUCUUUAGUUGCCAGCAGUUCGGCUGGGCACUCUAGAGAGACUGCCGGGGAUAACUCGGAGGAAGGUGGGGAUGACGUCAAAUCAUCAUGCCCCUUAUGUCUUGGGGCUACACACGUGCUACAAUGGCAAGUACAAAGAGCAGCGAAAGGGUGACCUGGGAGCAAAUCUAUAAAGCUUAGUCUCA
RNAcentral lists this ribosomal RNA (500 nucleotides) under uncultured bacterium. RNAcentral's name for it is "bacterial SSU rRNA". It matches the Rfam family "Bacterial small subunit ribosomal RNA", at positions 791 to 1290 of the family's 1533-position model. The record is from RNAcentral.